Molecule: long non-coding RNA, 511 nt
Organism: Prinia subflava (tawny-flanked prinia)
Lineage: Eukaryota; Metazoa; Chordata; Aves; Passeriformes; Cisticolidae
Exons: 3
Source: RefSeq, a predicted model, not a curated record
AGAAUAUGUGCUGCUGGUGUCUGUGCCUCGUGGUGCCACGCUUUGCAGGAGGAUCGAAGAGUUCCACAAAGAACCUGAAUCAUCUAGGCACUUAUACACCAUGAGCAGUUUUGCUGGAGGAAUCAUUUGGGGAAUGGGAAAAGGAAAGUGAAGCCUGGAAGUUUCAGACUCUUGCAAAGAGAGUCUAUCAGAAGGGCUACAGAUGACAACUUUUAUCCAGCUCAUUCAAACAGAAGUCAAGACAGCCAGUAACUGCUCUGGACAGCAAUUGUAAUGGAGCCACUUCUGGCCCUCUGUGGGAGAAGAAGCUCUGACCCGAAGGAACUCUUAACAGGGAUUUUUCUGAGGCCAAUGUGAACGUAAUAACCUUUGUGGUUAGUGAGACUUUUGGAAUGCUGUGUAUCUGUACAACACACACACCAGAUUGUGUCCCAAAUUCAGCCGUGAGUAUUAUUACAGAGACAAUUUUUGGUUUAUAUUUUUCUCUUCUCCCAUUUUAAGUGCUGCAGAG